GACGAACGCUGGCGGCGUGCUUAACACAUGCAAGUCGAACGGAAAGGCCCUGCUUUUGUGGGGUGCUCGAGUGGCGAACGGGUGAGUAACACGUGAGUAACCUGCCCUUGACUUUGGGAUAACUUCAGGAAACUGGGGCUAAUACCGGAUAGGAGCUCCUGCUGCAUGGUGGGGGUUGGAAAGUUUCGGCGGUUGGGGCUGGACUGGCGGCUUAUCAGCUUGUUGGUGGGGUAGUGGCUUACCAAGGCUUUGACGGGUAGCCGGCCUGGGAGGGUGGCCGGCGACCGUGGGCCUGCGGGACGGCGCAGACUCCUACGGGAGGCAGCGGUGGGGAAUAUUGCGGAAUGGGCGGAAGCCUGAUGCAGCGACGCCGCGUGCGGGAUGACGGCCUUCGGGUUGUAAACCGCUGUCGCCUGUGACGAAGCGUGAGUGACGGUAAUGGGUAAAGAAGCACCGGCUAACUACGUG
RNAcentral lists this ribosomal RNA (468 nucleotides) under uncultured bacterium. RNAcentral describes it as "partial 16S ribosomal RNA". It matches the Rfam family "Bacterial small subunit ribosomal RNA", at positions 28 to 507 of the family's 1533-position model. The record is from RNAcentral.